GACGAACGCUGGCGGCGUGCUUAACACAUGCAAGUCGAACGGAAAGGCCCUGCUUGCAGGGUACUCGAGUGGCGAACGGGUGAGUAACACGUGGGUGAUCUGCCCUGCACUUCGGGAUAAGCUUGGGAAACUGGGUCUAAUACCGGAUACGAGCCAUCUUUAGUGUGGUGGUUGGAAAGUUUUUUCGGUGUAGGAUGAGCUCGCGGCCUAUCAGCUUGUUGGUGGGGUAAUGGCCUACCAAGGCGGCGACGGGAAGCCGGCCAGAGAGGGUGUACGGCCACAUUGGGACUGAGAGACGGCACAGAUACCGACGCGAGGCAGCAGUGGGGAAUAUUGCACAAUGAGCGCAAGCCUGAUGCAGAGACGCCGCGUGGGGGAUGAAGGCGUUCGGGUUGUAAACUCCUUUCGCUAGUGAAGAAGCUUUGUUGUGACGGUACCUAGAUAAGAAGCACCGGCUAACUACGUG
Molecule: ribosomal RNA, 466 nt
Filed under: uncultured bacterium
Lineage: Bacteria
Description: partial 16S ribosomal RNA
Rfam family: Bacterial small subunit ribosomal RNA
Source: RNAcentral